UGGAUACCGUGGCUCAGGAUGAACGCUAGCGACAGGCUUAACACAUGCAAGUCGAGGGGCAGCGGGGGUAGCAAUACCCGCCGGCGACCGGCGCACGGGUGAGUAACGCGUACGCAACUUACCUAUCAGAGGGGGGAUAACCCGGCGAAAAGUCGGACUAAUACCGCAUGAAGCAGGGGUCCCGCAUGGGGAUAUUUGCUAAAGAUUCAUCGCUGAUAGAUAGGCAUGCGUUCCAUUAGGCAGUUGGG
RNAcentral lists this ribosomal RNA (248 nucleotides) under uncultured bacterium. RNAcentral describes it as "partial 16S ribosomal RNA". It matches the Rfam family "Bacterial small subunit ribosomal RNA", at positions 13 to 253 of the family's 1533-position model. The record is from RNAcentral.